AUUGAACGCUGGCGGCAGGCCUAACACAUGCAAGUCGAGCGGAUGAAGGGAGCUUGCUCCUGGAUUCAGCGGCGGACGGGUGAGUAAUGCCUAGGAAUCUGCCUGGUAGUGGGGGAUAACGUCCGGAAACGGGCGCUAAUACCGCAUACGUCCUGAGGGAGAAAGUGGGGGAUCUUCGGACCUCACGCUAUCAGAUGAGCCUAGGUCGGAUUAGCUAGUUGGUGGGGUAAAGGCCUACCAAGGCGACGAUCCGUAACUGGUCUGAGAGGAUGAUCAGUCUCACUGGAACUGAGACACGGUCCAGACUCCUACGGGAGGCAGCAGUGGGGAAUAUUGGACAAUGGGCGAAAGCCUGAUCCAGCCAUGCCGCGUGUGUGAAGAAGGUCUUCGGAUUGUAAAGCACUUUAAGUUGGGAGGAAGGGCAGUAAGUUAAUACCUUGCUGUCUUGACGUUACCAACAGAAUAAGCACCGGCUAACUUCGUG
This 484-nucleotide ribosomal RNA is filed under the name uncultured bacterium. RNAcentral describes it as "partial 16S ribosomal RNA". It matches the Rfam family "Bacterial small subunit ribosomal RNA", at positions 30 to 507 of the family's 1533-position model. The record is from RNAcentral.